This 407-nucleotide ribosomal RNA is filed under the name uncultured bacterium. RNAcentral's name for it is "partial 16S ribosomal RNA". It matches the Rfam family "Bacterial small subunit ribosomal RNA", at positions 30 to 526 of the family's 1533-position model. The record is from RNAcentral.
AUUGAACGCUGGCGGCAGGCUUAACACAUGCAAGUCGAACGGAGUGGCGGACGGGUGAGUAAUGCUUGGGAAUCUAGCUUAUGGAGGGGGAUAACUACGGGAAACUGUAGCUAAUACCGCGUACCAUAGGAUGAGCCCAAGUGGGAUUAGGUAGUUGGUGAGGUAACGGCUCACCAAGGCGACGAUCCGUAGCUGGUUUGAGAGGACGACCAGCCACACUGGGACUGAGACACGGCCCAGACUCCUACGGGAGGCAGCAGUGGGGAAUUUUGGACAAUGGGGGAAACCCUGAUCCAGCCAUCCCGCGUGUGCGAAGAAGGUCUUCGGAUUGUAAAGCACUUUAAGUUGGGAGGCGUUACCAACAGAAUAAGCACCGGCUAACUUCGUGCCAGCAGCCGCGGUAAUUC